This 253-nucleotide ribosomal RNA is filed under the name uncultured bacterium. RNAcentral describes it as "partial 16S ribosomal RNA". It matches the Rfam family "Bacterial small subunit ribosomal RNA", at positions 524 to 776 of the family's 1533-position model. The record is from RNAcentral.
UACGGGGGGUGCAAGCGUUAAUCGGAAUGACUGGGCGUAAAGGGUGAGUAGGUGGUGUAUUAAGUUGUCUGUAAAAGCCCUGGGCUUAACCUGGGAAUGAGAGAUGAUACUGGUAUACUAGAGUAUAAUAGAGGGCAGUGGAAUUUCCGGUGUAGCGGUGAAAUGCGUAGAGAUCGGAAGGAACACCAGUGGCGAAGGCGGCUGCCUGGAUAGGUACUGACACUGAAUCACGAAAGCAUGGGUAGCAAACAGG